GGAUCCACAUGCAAAUCACCUUGGGUUCUCCCAGAAGAAAUCGGCAUCACAGGCAGAGGCCAGUGUGCUGGGUCUCCAACCUGCAGACAGCCAUGCAGAUACUGUGGUCCCUCCUCUGCCUUCUGGCAGCUCCUCUGGGUGUCCUGUCUCAACUUACACUUCAGGAGUCAGGCCCAGGACUGGUGAAGCCCUCACAGACCCUCUCUCUCACAUGUGUUGUCUCUGGGGGCUCUGUGACCAGUAGUUACUAUUGGAACUGGAUCCGCCAGCGCCCUGGGAGAGCAUUGGAGUGGAUGGGGUACUGGACAGGUAGCACAAGUUACAACCCGGCUUUCCAGGGCCGCAUCUCCAUCACCGCUGACACGUCCAAGAACCAGUUCUCCCUGCAGCUGAGCUCUGUGACCACCGAGGACACGGCCAUGUAUUACUGUGCUAGAGGCACACUGAGGAGACAUCAGUGUGAGCCCAGACACAAACCUCCCUGCAGGGUCACAGGAGGGGCUGGGCUACAGGUACCCCCAGAAUCCACCAGGGGGCACUCAGGACUCUGGUGGCACUCAGGUCACCUUGCAGAGCUCAGGUCACCAGGGGGUGCUCAAGAGACAAGGGGCGCUCAAGACACAAGGGGACACUCAUGUCACCAUGGGGCGCUAAUGACCCACCAAUACAUUUUCAACACCAGAAACAGGUGCAGUUAGAGAUUAAAUGCAUGCUUCCAGUCACAGUUUGGUACUUCCUUUCCAUAAAGUAGUUUCCUCAGGGGCCUCUCUAGAAUUAUAAUUUGAUUUUACCACCUACAUAUGUGAAAAGAAAAGUUAGGUGUAAUAGGAGAAAACUAUAUUUCAUGUUCAAAAGGCAGAACAUCACUUGCACUUGCUUAAUCUUUCCCAAAUUGAUGAUUAAUUAUAGAUAUUCUGAUUUAUGUCCAUGAAGUUUGUAAAAAGGUUCAGCUGUACUCAACACAACACCACACAGCCCAGUUUACAAGCUAUGAGCCUGCAUCAUAAAGUUCAUGCUAGACAUCAGGUACAGGUGCAUCAUGAAGCCAAAGCCAGAAAACAAUGGCCCCAGUGCAGGGGAAUCAUUGUGUGGACACCAUGUUCACAGCUUCUAUUUAGUUGACAUCAUCCAGAAACAGAGGGACCCCAACCAAGCUUGGCACAGUUGGUGAAUCAGAUGAUCCAACACACACAUAACAAGAGAAUAUAAAAUGCUUAUGGACCUCGGGGAAUGCCACACAGCAUGUCAGAAAUGCUUUAAUAAAUCCAGGAAAGGAUAUGAA
This is a non-coding RNA of Callorhinus ursinus (northern fur seal), 1282 nucleotides long. Lineage: Eukaryota; Metazoa; Chordata; Mammalia; Carnivora; Otariidae. The record is from the annotation of a RefSeq genome assembly.